RNAcentral lists this long non-coding RNA (544 nucleotides) under Rattus norvegicus (Norway rat). RNAcentral's name for it is "long non-coding RNA NONRATT015492". Lineage: Eukaryota; Metazoa; Chordata; Mammalia; Rodentia; Muridae. The record is from RNAcentral.
CCCUUUCCCCAGCAUGCAUCUCUCCUCAUCUCUGCAAAGUUCAGGUUCAGGACAGGCUUCCCUGUGGGCUCUGUGGAGCUCCUGGGUCCAGAAGUCCUUAUGUCAAGGGCACUCAGGGGGUGGGUUGGGGCUGGAGAGGAUAUGCAGGGAUCCUGGAAGGGUAAGGGCCAAGCAAUUUGGUAGUGGGGGAAGGGCAGAAAGGAACUGGGCUAUGGGAAGUGAUCCAAAGAGUGGGGCUGGGAAAUCUGGCUGCAUAUUUGGUCCUGAAAAGGGUGUCUGAGAACCUACCCCCUUCUAAUCUUGUCCAACCUAAAGUGUAGUUGUCUGCCCUGAGCUAUCCAUGCUACUUCCAGCUCUGCCCCAUCCUCCUUCCAGGGUCUGUCCCUGAGUAGGGGCAGGGGAAAUAGGAGCAGAGUUGCAAAAGAGGCUGAGGAGGGCAUGACUUUAUGACUUUGGGGUGAGAGGACCAGCUAGAUGCUUGAGCAUUUAUGGAUGAUAGUUAUUUUAUAUCAUUUGAUUAAUAAAAAUAUUGGAAAAUGUAAAA